AAAAUCAGAAAAUUCCCUAACACGCUGGUUCUGGGAAAACCCAAAAACCAAUGAGCCAAACGCAAAGGCAAACGCAGACGCAAAAGCUAUAAGCCAUUUUCACAAAUAAUCAAAAUCUUUUACUAUUCCUAUCGAAUUCAAUUCCCCUAAUCCCUUUCUCCCCCGCCGCUGAACCCUCUUCAACGUCCCCGCGGUGCCUCCGCGGGAUUCACUAGGGUUUUCUGAUCGUACCUUUCAAUUUCCACUGUUUUUCCACGACGUCGUUCUCCAAGUCAUGCCUCCGGCGCGUCGACGCGCGGCGAACAAGGCUAAGGCGAACGGACACUUGCGUUUAGGCGAUCUUGUACUAGCGAAGGUCAAGGGUUUCCCUUCUUGGCCUGCCAAGAUAAGUAGGCCUGAGGAAUGGGAGAAAGCCCCUGAUCCAAAGAAAUAUUUUGUUCAAUUCUUUGGCACCGAAGAGAUAGCUUUUGUUGCACCCGCAGAUAUUCAGGUCUUUACAAGUGAGUAUAAAAUUAAGUUGUCUUCACGGCUUCAAGGAAAGACGAGGUACUUUACCCAGGCCGUGAAGGAAAUAUGUGCAGCUUUUGACGAGAUUGAGAAACAGAAGGCCAGUGGUGAUGACACAGAUGAUUCUCGGAUUGAUUCAGAAGCUCCUCCUGUUGAUGAGACAGUGAGUAAUCCAAAGGAUACCACUGAUGCUGUGAUGUCUCAUGCAGAAAAGGAUAACAUCUAUGUGGGUAAUGUUGGCUUCAAUUUGGAGGACUGUUUGUUGAAAACUGGAGAGAGGGUUAGCCCAGAUGAAAAGCUCACAGAGUCUUGCCGUCCAAAUGAAAGUUCUUCUGUUUCAUCACCUUUGGUCAAAAGUAAAUUAUCUACUGGUACAGAGAUAAAGAAGAAUUCCAGCAAACCUACUCUUAAAGGUGCAAGUAAUGUUAAUGAUUUUGGUCAACAUGAUAACGAAAAUAGUGUUUUAACAAAUGGUAGUAAGCCAAGAAAGCAUGUUACUGGUUCAAAGAGGAGAUUUGAAGUUGCAGAUGAUAUAAAUAAAAAUGGUGGAUCAUCUACUGGGACACUUUUGAAGGUGGGAAAAUCUACUGGCAGUGCUGAUCUUUCCAGGUCAGGGGAGACAUUUAAAUCUGGAAAGAAAGGGAAAGAUGCAUCUGCUGUUAAAUUAAAUUCUCCAGAAACUUUUAAACCAGACUCGAAUGGUAGUACUGGAGAAAAAGGUAAGAACUUGAUUUCAAAAAAAGCAAGUCUCGAGGUAAAAAAUGAAUUACAGGAGGCUGAUGGCAAAAAUUCAAGUAUGGGAAAGAAUAACCAAGUUCAUGCAAAGCAUAAUGUGGGAGCAAAUGAAUCCUUACAUGCUACUAAGAAGUUGAAACGCAUGGAGGCCAGAGAUGAUUUAACUUCAGGGCACAUCCCAAAAGAUGUGAAAAGUGCUUUGCCUUGCUCUACUUUUGUCGAAGAGAAAUCAUCUAAAAUUUUAGAGUUGAAAAGGCCCACUUUAAAUUCAAAAACAGAAAAAAGCUCUGGCCAUGAGUUGCUACCAAUGAUCAAACAACAUAGCCAAGUUCAGAAAACUAUGCCUGAUUCUGAUAGAGUUGCUUCUGAUGAUAAAAAAGUUUGGAGCAAUCUUAAACUGAAAGGCGAUACAAAGAAUGUUACGACAAAACAAGCACAGAAGAAACGGAAAGCUGUUUGCCUCAAUGAAGAUGAUGAUGUACCUAAAACUCCUGUUCAUGGAGGAGCUGCAAAAAAUAUCAAGUCGCCUUUUGCUUCAGAGGUCAAGAAGGGAAAUAAUGAACAUUCUGAGAAAUCUGAUGCUGCUAAGCUGGCUCAUAGAAAUUCUAGUGAACUUGAGGAGGCUCAUUUGAAAGGGCUGUCUUCUCAAUUACAUAUUGAUGCAUCAUCAGUUAAGCCCCCUGAAAAAGAGAAAGCCGAUGAAGCCAUUCCUGUGCAUGUUCCUCUUAGUCAUGAUAAGUUAGAUUCGAAGCAGUUUCCCUCUAAGGUGGCAAGAGUAAGCUCUGCUUCCCCAGUAAAAUCACCUCAGCCAGUUCCUGCAACAACAAAGUCAAAUGCUGAGCGGAAUAAAUCUUCCAAACCUUUGCUUAAAGCUUCCAGCAUUGCUACUCUAAAGAAGGCUGACAACGGGUCUUCCAAAUCUUCACAUAACCUCAGCUCUUGUCAAAACCAAGUUUCUGCUCAUAAGAAGAAGCUAGCAUCUUUGGCUGAAAAUUCCAAGACUACUCCAAAGACAUUGCCUCAGGAAGUUGAAGUUCCUGUUUCAACAAUAGAUUUUAAGGAGCCUGAUGCACUGCAUGUGGAUGGAUUGGAAGAGGGUAUGGAAGAAAGAAGUAAUAUAUAUACUGGUUCUGGGACUCCAGAAACAUCUAAGACUAUGAAGCAUCUUAUUGCAGCUGCCCAGGCAAAAUGGAAAAAAGCUCAUUCUCAGUAUCUUUCUUCUGAUAUCCAUAAUGUCCAGGGGGGGACUCCUAGCCCAUCCACAGUUCAGCCAUUUCUCCCUGUCUCAAGGAACUUCGCUCAGACAGAUGUGCAGGGAGUUUAUGAGCUCGCAACUUCGGUUUCUCCGCCAACUAAUGAGUAUCACUCUGCAUCUCAAAAUCAGCUCGAUGCGGAUGAGAUUGAAGAGAGAAGAGUCGGUUCAGUGCAAAGGGAUCCUGAAGGUUCACUCAGUGGGGGUACAGAGGCUGCUGUUGCUCGUGACGCAUUUGAAGGAAUGAUAGAAACUUUGUCAAGGACCAAGGAAAGUAUCGGGCGUGCAACUCGUCUGGCCAUAGACUGCGCUAAGUAUGGCAUUGCCAACGAGGUUGUUGAACUUCUCAUCCGGAAGUUGGAAAAUGAAGCUAGUUUUCAUCGCAAAGUGGAUUUAUUUUUUCUUGUUGAUUCUAUCACUCAGUGCUCACAUAGUCAAAAAGGAAUUGCUGGAGCAUCUUACAUCCCUAUAGUUCAAGCAGCGCUGCCACGUCUUCUCGGUGCUGCUGCUCCCUCUGGAGCUAGUGCCCGUGAAAAUCGUCGUCAAUGUCACAAGGUUUUGAGGCUGUGGCUUGAGAGGAAAAUUUUGCCAGAGUCUGUUAUUCGCCGUUACAUGAAUGAAAUUGGGGUUUCAAAUGAUGAUAUCACAGUUAGCUUUUCCUUCAGGCGUCCGUCUCGUGCCGAGCGAUCUGUGGAUGACCCAAUUAGAGAAAUGGAAGGCAUGCAUGUUGAUGAGUAUGGAAGUAAUGCUACAUUUCAGCUGCCUGGCUUUUUAUCUUGUCAUGCAUUUGAUGAAGACGAAGAGGAAGAAGGUUUACAAAUCAAUUCAUGUAUGGAUAUGUAUGGUACAUCUCCAGCAGAUCCCGCACCCAAGUUUGGAGGAUCAGAUACUCAUACUGUGACCCCAAAUGACAAACGCCAUUGUAUCUUGGAGGAUGUGGACGGUGAGCUAGAAAUGGAAGAUGUUUCAGGUCACCCAAAGGAUGAGAGACCUGUAUAUUGGAAUAGUUCUGAUGAAACUGAUAUGCUUCUUCAGAGCUCAAAUAGGAAUUUGGACCCAACUUCAAAUAUUUCAGAAGACAUAUUGGCUACUCCUGAGGGUUCCCCUCCAUUACCUCUUGAUUCACCCCCUCCAACCCCACCUUUGCCUUCUUCACCUCCCCCUCCUCCUCCUCUAUCAUCUCCAUCUCCUCCCCCACCCCCACCACCUCCAAUGUUGCAACCCCCACCUCUUCCUUUACCAUCCUCAGCCCCACUAGUAUCAUUGGUUCCUCAAUUGUCUGGACUGCCCCGGCCUUCACAUGUCUCCCAGUCAUUAAUGCCACCUCAGUCAUCAUAUCAGUCAUCACCAAAGUUGGGGUAUCAGCAGAAUAUACCUCAUGACUUUAGUAGCUCAACUAGUGGUAACCAAAUAGUUCAAAUGGCUGGUAAUUCUUUUUCUGGAGGUCACACUAAUGCAGUUGUCAAGAAUGAACUAUUUCCACAGCCAUCUGCUUUUACCUUGGCUGCAGGAUGCAGUUCCCAGGAGCCCUCUGGUUUGAACCCUUCAAGACAAUUAGAAUACGGACAUAAUGAUGUGUAUUUAAAUGCUCAAGUUCAUCAACCUAACCAGCAAUAUCAGCAGGGUAACAUUUCAUAUGCUCAGAGACAUGCACAUCCUGCACCAGCCCAAAAUCUAUCAAAUCAGUUCUCAUAUCCAAAUCACACAGUUCAGCAACACCUUCCACAUGCAUUUCAUCCUCCUUUUCCAUUACCAUCUCUUCCAGAUGGCUUGAGGCAAUUCGUUGCUGAUGAGCAAUGGAGAAUGUCAUCGACAAACAAUCAACAUCAAAAUGGUGUAUAUAGAGGGAUAAAUCCUUCAUGCCCUGGUCCUCCCUUUGGACAAGAAGGUUUCCGACCACCACUUGAAAGGCCGCCGUUAAGCAAUGUAGGUUUUCAGCGAGCAAUUUCAAGCACCCUACCUAGUGCACCAGUAUCAGGACACGGUGCUCCACAGAUGUUGCCUUGCAGGCCAGACAUAUCUGCUGUUAAUUCUUGGAGACCCACUUGAAGUUGAUUGGACACUUAUUAAAAUUAAUGUUGUUGCUGGUGGAUCAACACUCACGGCUAUAAAUUGUACCACAAGUUAGAUUUGCCUGUGUUGUACAUACAACUUACCUGUGAAGAGAAUUUUGAAAAGUUGCGGAGGCUUUUGGCAGGAUUGUGUAUAUUGUAUUUUUUCCUGACAAUGUAUCCCAGGAACAUUAGCUUCAAAGUUUAGGCUCAUGUUUCUGACUUGGUUUUGGCAACAAGAAUAGAUGUCAAACCAUUCUUCAUGUUUUGAAUGAUAUAACUCAAUAAGGCAAACUUCAUCCCCUAGAAAGACGGUUGAUAAUUGAGGUAAAUAGUCAUGUAAUUUUAAAACUUACAAUGCUUUUGUUAUUGACUUCAAUUAGAAUGCAAGUGCGCCUAUACAUAAUGUAUAAAAAAAAUACCAGUGAUAUUUAUUGUACAUUACGGUUUCUAGAUUGAUGUUAGAAUUGUUCUCCCACUUUCUUUUUAAAGAAAUCAGAAAUAGGAAAACUACCUAUAUCUUUGAUGUUGCGGCA
Molecule: RNA transcript, 5081 nt
Organism: Lathyrus oleraceus (garden pea)
Lineage: Eukaryota; Viridiplantae; Streptophyta; Magnoliopsida; Fabales; Fabaceae
Gene name: ENHANCER OF AG-4 protein 2
Exons: 13
Source: RefSeq, a predicted model, not a curated record